Molecule: ribosomal RNA, 254 nt
Filed under: uncultured bacterium
Lineage: Bacteria
Description: partial 16S ribosomal RNA
Rfam family: Bacterial small subunit ribosomal RNA
Source: RNAcentral
UACGGAGGGGGCUAGCGUUGUUCGGAAUUACUGGGCGUAAAGCGCACGUAGGCGGCUUUGUAAGUUAGAGGUGAAAGCCCGGGGCUCAACUCCGGAAUUGCCUUUAAGACUGCAUCGCUAGAAUUGUGGAGAGGUAAGUGGAAUUCCGAGUGUAGAGGUGAAAUUCGUAGAUAUCAGGAGGAACACCUGUGGUGUAGACAGCUUUCUGGACCAUUGCUGACGCUGAGACACGAAAGCGUGGGGUAGCAAACAGG